RNAcentral lists this ribosomal RNA (485 nucleotides) under uncultured Sphingobacteriales bacterium. RNAcentral describes it as "bacterial SSU rRNA". It matches the Rfam family "Bacterial small subunit ribosomal RNA", at positions 898 to 1382 of the family's 1533-position model. The record is from RNAcentral. Lineage: Bacteria; Pseudomonadati; Bacteroidota; Sphingobacteriia; Sphingobacteriales.
AACUCAAAUGAAUUGACGGGGGCCCGCACAAGCGGAGGAACAUGUGGUUUAAUUCGAUGAUACGCGAGGAACCUUACCUGGGCUUAAAUGUAGGUUUGCAUAACUUAGAAAUAGGUUUUCCCUUCGGGGCUACUUACAAGGUGCUGCAUGGUUGUCGUCAGCUCGUGCCGUGAGGUGUCGGGUUAAGUCCCAUAACGAGCGCAACCCCUAUCGUUAGUUGCCAGCGGGUCAAGCCGGGGACUCUAGCGAGACUGCCACCGUAAGGUGAGAGGAAGGCGGGGAUGACGUCAAAUCAGCACGGCCCUUAUGUCCAGGGCUACACACGUGUUACAAUGGCCGAUACAAAGGGCAGCUACCGGGCGACCGGAUGCUAAUCUCAAAAGUCGGUCCCAGUUCGGAUUGGAGUCUGCAACCCGACUCCAUGAAGUUGGAUUCGCUAGUAAUCGCGCAUCAGCCAUGGCGCGGUGAAUACGUUCCCGGGCCUU